GCGAGGUUGCGGGUGCUAUACAUGCGUCGAGCGGACAGAAGGGAGCUUGCUCCCGGAUGUUAGCGGCGGACGGGUGAGUAACACGUGGGUAACCUGCCUGUAAGACUGGGAUAACUCCGGGAAACCGGAGCUAAUACCGGAUAGUUCCUUGAACCGCAUGGUUCAAGGAUGAAAGACGGUUUCGGCUGUCACUUACAGAUGGACCCGCGGCGCAUUAGCUAGUUGGUGAGGUAACGGCUCACCAAGGCGACGAGCGUAGCCGACCUGAGAGGGUGAUCGGCCACACUGGGACUGAGACACGGCCCAGACUCCUACGGGAGGCAGCAGUAGGGAAUCUUCCGCAAUGGACGAAAGUCUGACGGAGCAACGCCGCGUGAGUGAUGAAGGUUUUCGGAUCGUAAAGCUCUGUUGUUAGGGAAGAACAAGUGCAAGAGUAACUGCUUGCACCUUGACGGUACCUAACCAGAAAGCCACGGCUAACUACGUGCCAGCAGCCGCGGUAAUACGUAGGUGGCAAGCGUUGUCCGGAAUUAUUGGGCGUAAAGGGCUCGCAGGCGGUUUCUUAAGUCUGAUGUGAAAGCCCCCGGCUCAACCGGGGAGGGUCAUUGGAAACUGGGAAACUUGAGUGCAGAAGAGGAGAGUGGAAUUCCACGUGUAGCGGUGAAAUGCGUAGAGAUGUGGAGGAACACCAGUGGCGAAGGCGACUCUCUGGUCUGUAACUGACGCUGAGGAGCGAAAGCGUGGGGAGCGAACAGGAUUAGAUACCCUGGUAGUCCACGCCGUAAACGAUGAGUGCUAAGUGUUAGGGGGUUUCCGCCCCUUAGUGCUGCAGCUAACGCAUUAAGCACUCCGCCUGGGGAGUACGGUCGCAAGACUGAAACUCAAAGGAAUUGACGGGGGCCCGCACAAGCGGUGGAGCAUGUGGUUUAAUUCGAA
Molecule: ribosomal RNA, 936 nt
Filed under: Bacillus pumilus
Lineage: Bacteria; Bacillati; Bacillota; Bacilli; Caryophanales; Bacillaceae
Description: bacterial SSU rRNA
Rfam family: Bacterial small subunit ribosomal RNA
Source: RNAcentral